AUACGGAGGGUGCAAGCGUUGUUCGGAAUCACUGGGCGUAAAGGGCGCGCAGGCGGUUCGGUAAGUCAGAUGUGAAAGCCCAUGGCUCAACCAUGGAAGUGCAUUUGAAACUGUCAGACUUGAGUACUAGAGGGGAAAGUGGAAUUCCCGGUGUAGAGGUGAAAUUCGUAGAUAUCGGGAGGAAUACCGGUGGCGAAGGCGACUUUCUGGCUAGAUACUGACGCUGAGGCGCGAAAGCGUGGGGAGCAAACAGGAUUAGAAACCCCAGUAGUCC
This 274-nucleotide ribosomal RNA is filed under the name uncultured bacterium. RNAcentral describes it as "partial 16S ribosomal RNA". It matches the Rfam family "Bacterial small subunit ribosomal RNA", at positions 523 to 796 of the family's 1533-position model. The record is from RNAcentral.